This is a long non-coding RNA of Oncorhynchus masou masou (cherry salmon), 1429 nucleotides long. RefSeq lists it as uncharacterized. The record is from RefSeq and is a predicted model, not a curated record. NCBI's taxonomy places the organism in Eukaryota, Metazoa, Chordata, Actinopteri, Salmoniformes, Salmonidae. The transcript has 3 exons.
UAUAUACCUUGUUAGAAUUUGUAUGAUUUCAUUGUUGUUAUUAUUAUUAAACAGUAGUUGUUAAAGUUCAUUGUUCAUUGGUUUGGGAUGAAUUGUUAAACUCAUCCCAAACCAUCUCAAGGUGUGUUUUGGGUCACUGUCCUGUUGAAAAACAAAUGAUAGUCCCACGAAGCACAAACCAGAUGGGAUGGCGUAUCGCUGCAGAAUGCUGUGGUAGCCAUGCUGUUUAAGUGUGCCUUGAAUUCUAAAUACCAGCAAAGUAACCCCACACCAUCACAUCUCCUCCUCCAUGCUUCACGGCGGGAACCGCACAUGCAGAGAUUCACGUUCACCUACUCUGCGUCUCACAACGACACGGAGGUUGGAAACAAAAAUCUCAAAUUUGGACUCAUCAGACCAAAGGACAUAUUUCCACCUGUCUAAUGUCCGUUGCUCAUGUUUCUUGGCCCAAGCAAGUCUCUUCUUAUUAUUGGUGUCAUUUAGUAGUCGUUUCUUUGCAGCAAUUCGACUAUGAAGUCCUGAUUCACACAGUCUCCUCUGAACAGUUGAUGUUGAGAUGUGUCUGUUACUUGAACCCUGGUAACCCUAUUGAACUUAUCCUCUGUAGCAGAGGUAACUCUAAUGAACUUAUCCUCUGUAGCAGAGGUAACUCUAAUGAACUUAUCCUCUGUAGCAGAGGUAACUCUAAUGAACUUAUCCUCUGUAGCAGAGGUAACUCUAUUGAACUUAUCCUCUGGAGCAGAGGUAACUCUAAUGAACUUAUCCUCUGUAGCAGAGGUAACUCUAUUGAACUUAUCCUCUGUAGCAGAGGUAACUCUAAUGAACUUAUCCUCUGUAGCAGAGGUAACUCUAAUGAACUUAUCCUCUGUAGCAGAGGUAACUCUAAUGAACUUAUCCUCUGUAGCAGAGGUAACUCUAUUGAACUUAUCCUCUGUAGCAGAGGUAACUCUAUUGAACUUGUCCUCUGUAGCAGAGGUAACUCUAUUGAACUUAUCCUCUGUAGCAGAGGUAACUCUAAUGAACUUAUCCUCUGUAGCAGAGGUAACUCUAUUGAACUUAUCCUCUGUAGCAGAGGUAACUCUAUUGAACUUGUCCUCUGUAGCAGAGGUAACUCUAUUGAACUUAUCCUCUGUAGCAGAGGUAACUCUAAUUGAACUUAUCCUCUGUAGCAGAGGUAACUCUAUUGAACUUGUCCUCUGGAGCAGAGGUAACUCUAUUGAACUUAUCCUCUGUAGCAGAGGUAACUCUAAUGAACUUAUCCUCUGUAGCAGAGGUAACUCUAAUGAACUUAUCCUCUGUAGCAGAGGUAACUCUAUUGAACUUAUCGUCUGUAGCAGAGGUAACUCUAAUGAACUUAUCCUCUGUAGCAGAGGUAACUCUAAUGAACUUAUCCUCUGUAGCAGAGGUAACUCUAAUGAACUUAUCCUCU